RNAcentral lists this ribosomal RNA (426 nucleotides) under uncultured Actinomycetes bacterium. RNAcentral's name for it is "bacterial SSU rRNA". It matches the Rfam family "Bacterial small subunit ribosomal RNA", at positions 233 to 671 of the family's 1533-position model. Lineage: Bacteria; Bacillati; Actinomycetota; Actinomycetes. The record is from RNAcentral.
GCGGCCUAUCAGCUUGUUGGUGAGGUAAUGGCUCACCAAGGCUACGACGGGUAUCCGGCCUGAGAGGGCGACCGGACACACUGGGACUGAGACACGGCCCAGACUCCUACGGGAGGCAGCAGUGGGGAAUAUUGGGCAAUGGACGCAAGUCUGACCCAGCGACGCCGCGUGAGGGAUGAAGGCCUUCGGGUUGUAAACCUCUUUCAGUAGGGAAGAAGCGAAAGUGACGGUACCUACAAAAGAAGCACCGGCUAACUAUGUGCCAGCAGCCGCGGUAAUACAUAGGGUGCAAGCGUUGUCCGGAUUUAUUGGGCGUAAAGAACUCGUAGGUGGUUUGUUACGUCGGAUGUGAAACUCUGGGGCUCAACCCCAGACCUGCAUCCGAUACGGGCAGACUAAAGUGUGGUAGGGGAGACUGGAAUUCCU